Molecule: small RNA, 1214 nt
Filed under: Histoplasma capsulatum
Lineage: Eukaryota; Fungi; Ascomycota; Eurotiomycetes; Onygenales; Ajellomycetaceae
Also listed under: 1 other name
Description: hypothetical RNA
Source: RNAcentral
UUCAUCCAUCACAAACACCACGCAACUACAACGCGUUCUACGACAUUGAUGAUACCCUUUUUUGGCAUAGUUUCUGCUUGUAUUGCGAAAUUGGGUUUUCUACUAUCCACAAAAUAAUCCUACUUUGAUACUUCCAUUGCCGCAUUGCAGGUUUAACUGUCGCGGGGUGGUUAAUAUCCGUAUACAAAACACCAUUGCAUACACUUAUUAUAUGAGAUCAUCAUAUAAUUAUAUUCAUAUUGCUUUCUCUUCGCAGGCAUGGCUUCACUGCCAUUCCCAUCUUCUUCUCCCCCAACCCUAACAAGAUGGUACAUUGACACCAGGCCUCUAACGGCCACAACCCAAUCACUUCCCCUCCUCUCUACCCUCCAAGAAUCCGAUCAAACAACCAUAAAAGCCUUCUACAACCUUUCAGACCGCCACAUGUCUCUCGCCUCCUAUCUAUUGAAAUACCUCUUCAUUCACCGCACAUGUCGAGUCCCCUGGAACCAAAUCAUCAUCAGCCGUACUCCGGCCCCGCAUAAAAGACCCUGCUAUAUCCCCCCCCACCCCCCGCAGCCAUCUCCACCUGCGGAUGGUAAUCAAAACCAGAAUCCCCUGAUUCCAGUCCCAAAUAUCGAAUUCAACGUCAGCCACCAAGCUUCCCUCAUCUCAUUGGCGGGAUGCAUUAGCCCUUCACCACGAAGCUUGGAUGAGACGCCCUCCCCUCAACCCCUCUACACCCCGAGCGCAAAUAACAACCACAAUGAUAAUAAUAACCACGUUCCCAGCCCCCCUCAAAUAGGCAUAGACAUAACCUGCACCGACGACCCAUCCCGCCGCCACCGCGCCCCGCCACGGACAGAAGCCGAACUGCACGACUUCAUCGACAUCUUCGCCGAAGUUUUCUCCGCAAACGAACUAGCUGCCAUGAAGGCAUAUCCGAGGAGCAGCAGCGGCGGCGGCACCGCGAACUUGCAGGAAUCCAUAACGCACCGCAUCCGCCUCUUCUACACCUACUGGGCCCUGAAGGAGGCGUAUAUUAAAAUGACGGGCGAGGCGCUGCUGGCACCCUGGCUGCGUGAUCUGGAGUUUGCAAAUGUUGUUGUUCCGGCGCCGCCGCUCUCACAUCUAUCUCCAUAUCCGUCUACGUCUACGUCUUCGUCCUCGCUGUGGGGGGUGCCGGAGACGGGGGUUAGGGCUAUGCUAUAUGGGCGUGAAGUGCCCGAGGUGCG